This is a long non-coding RNA of Eucalyptus grandis, 517 nucleotides long. RefSeq lists it as uncharacterized. The transcript has 3 exons. NCBI's taxonomy places the organism in Eukaryota, Viridiplantae, Streptophyta, Magnoliopsida, Myrtales, Myrtaceae. The record is from RefSeq and is a predicted model, not a curated record.
AAAGGUCAGUGAAGAAGCAGAGGCCUUGUGCUUUUAAGGAGCUUCCUCAGGUCUCUAACUACAUAUCUGUCAUUCAUUUUUAAUAUGGGUUCACAUUGCGGUUUCCAUGGAGAAGGUCUUGUCCAUAGUCUGUCAGCCACAAGCCAUUUUCCGAAUUCGUCCUGUAAAUCGCUGUUCAGCAACAAUUGCUGGGGGUGGGUGGGGUGCCAUUGUAUCAAGGAGAGCAAUGUUGUUAGAUGGAUGUUGAUUAUGGAGAUUACAGUUUCAAUCCUUAUGGAGUGCUGGAGGACCUUUGUUUGACAUGUCACUCAGAAGCUGUUCUAUCUGUGGCCUUUAGACCUGACGGGAAGCAACUGGCUAGUGGUUCAGGAGAUAUCACAGUCCGAUUGUGGGACCUAAAUACUCGGACUCGAUGUUUGCAUGCAACGGUUGAAUAUUUGAAUCUCUUAGUUCCUUACGUCCUUCAAGUUUCUAAUUGUAUGCUCCCUUCCCCAUCAUGGGGGCAUCUAAAUAUACG